CCACCCUGGCGAUUGAUGUAU
This 21-nucleotide unclassified non-coding RNA is filed under the name Dictyostelium discoideum. The record is from RNAcentral. Lineage: Eukaryota; Evosea; Eumycetozoa; Dictyosteliales; Dictyosteliaceae.